Molecule: long non-coding RNA, 1468 nt
Filed under: Canis lupus familiaris (dog)
Lineage: Eukaryota; Metazoa; Chordata; Mammalia; Carnivora; Canidae
Description: lncRNA (ENSCAFG00030008194.1)
Source: RNAcentral
AUGCUGAACACGGUUAUUUUACUCAUCCCUUUGCCAGGCGCUGUGAACACAAGGUUACUUUGGGUCUUCUCUUCCUUUCUCAGCAGCUCUGGCUCUGGUGGUUUUCACUGUGAUUUCCUCUGCUCCUGCCAACCCCUUCCCAUCUGCUCCCUGUCUUCCAAGAAUCCUGGGCAACUUCUCCAGCAUGGUUCACUCUGUCUCUUUCAAAUACGGCUUCUCUUUCCAGAGGCCUGGGGCAAGAGGACAGGGAGAUGGGAACACCUAGUGAUGUUGUGUGUCUUCAUUUCUCUUAGGUCCGGAGAGUCUCAGAUGUGUUUUUGCGGCAGUGCAGGGAAAGCUGAAGAUCAGCCUCAGGGAGAAGGAUGAGGAUCUGUUCCUGCUUCCCACCUGAGCCGGGAUCUGCGACUGCCCCAGUGAGGGCUGACAUUGGCACCCAACAUCCUCAGGAGGUAAUGGACGAUGUUCACUGGUCAGCGUAACAUUCCCCAGAGACCGCUGGCUGAAGCAGUUCCACCCGGGGAGUCCAUCAGGGAAGAUCUGUCCCGCCUGCCCUUGCAGGUGGGGUGAUAAAGGGAGGUGGUUUUCUGGGGUGUAAUGCACAGUGAGUGUCCUCUGUGCAUGAAUGUGCGUGUACACGCAGGCACCCAGUGCAGUGGGUGCUCCCGCAGGUGUGCGGGCCGUUAUGGGAUGUCUCAGGUCCCUGUCCUGCACCUGCCCAGGAGCAGUGUGCCCUCUGCUGGCUGGACCAGGGAACGGCAGCUCCUGCUGAACCGGGUCGCCCUGUUCCUGUAAACCCUGGGGAAAGGUGUUCUCUCCUGGGGGAGGUGGAGGCCCAGCAUGGUCAGGCCCAGGCGUUAACCUUUCACCCGGACUCGGGCUGGUAUUUCAUUCCAGGGGCUUUGUGGAGGUCUUGCCCUUUUGUGGAGACGCGGUGACUAUUCGGGCAGGUGGCGGGAGAGUCUGGUGGGGCCCUGCAAGGUCACCGGGUGGGGAGUGGACGGACUCCCCCUGUCCCUCUGAACCCACUUCCAAUGCAAGGAUGGAGAAACAGAAGGAGGGGCGGAUAAUAACAAAGCAGCCCGGGCACUUACUCUAUACCUGUUUCUGCGCUAAGUGCUUUUCAUAGAUAAUUUCUAAUCCUGACAACGACUCCGAGGGCUGAUAGCUGUACCGUCUAAGCCCAUUUCUCAGAAGUGAUAACUGAGGCUCAGAGAUGCAAACUUCCAAUAGCAUGUUCGUGCCCAGUGGCUCCUGAACCCGGGACUAAAUGACCUCAGAGCCCCUUCCUGUCCCCACAAGCACACCAGCCCCCAGGCUCCCCACCUCUGAGAGGGCUUGAGGCUGUCCCCCCGCCCCCCCAGGGCCGGCCACUCGGGGGCCAGGAUGCCCAAGGCCCAGCGGAAAAGGAAAGGUAGCUGGGUGACCGGCCUGGCCUGCGGGCCCAGCCGGAGCCGCGGCGGGUGGGGGC